CCUAAGGGCGGCAGCAGUGGGGAAUAUUGGACAAUGGGCGAAAGCCUGAUCCAGCCAUGCCGCGUGUGUGAAGAAGGCCUUCGGGUUGUAAAGCACUUUCAGUGGGGAAGAAAGCCUUGGGGCUAAUACCCUCGAGGAAGGACAUCACCCACAGAAGAAGCACCGGCUAACUCCGUGCCAGCAGCCGCGGUAAUACGGAGGGUGCGAGCGUUAAUCGGAAUUACUGGGCGUAAAGCGCGCGUAGGCGGUCUGAUAAGCCGGUUGUGAAAGCCCCGGGCUCAACCUGGGAACGGCAUCCGGAACUGUCAGGCUAGAGUGCAGGAGAGGAAGGUAGAAUUCCCGGUGUAGCGGUGAAAUGCGUAGAGAUCGGGAGGAAUACCAGUGGCGAAGGCGGCCUUCUGGACUGACACUGACGCUGAGGUGCGAAAGCGUGGGUAGCAAACAGGAUUAGAUACCCGAGUAGUC
This 465-nucleotide ribosomal RNA is filed under the name Vreelandella stevensii. RNAcentral describes it as "partial 16S ribosomal RNA". It matches the Rfam family "Bacterial small subunit ribosomal RNA", at positions 338 to 795 of the family's 1533-position model. Lineage: Bacteria; Pseudomonadati; Pseudomonadota; Gammaproteobacteria; Oceanospirillales; Halomonadaceae. The record is from RNAcentral.